UACGUAGGGUGCAGGCGUUAAUCGGAAUUACUGGGCGUAAAGCGUGCGCAGGCGGUCUUUUAAGUCAGAUGUGAAAUCCCCGGGCUUAACCUGGGAACUGCGUUUGAAACUGGAAGGCUUGAGUGUGGCAGAGGGGGGUGGAAUUCCACGUGUAGCAGUGAAAUGCGUAGAUAUGUGGAGGAACACCGGUGGCGAAGGCGGCAUCCUGGACCGGCAUUGACGCUGAGGCGCGAAAGCCAGGGGAGCAAACGGG
RNAcentral lists this ribosomal RNA (253 nucleotides) under uncultured bacterium. Its description in RNAcentral is "partial 16S ribosomal RNA". It matches the Rfam family "Bacterial small subunit ribosomal RNA", at positions 524 to 776 of the family's 1533-position model. The record is from RNAcentral.